ACAAGAAACCAAAUCAUGUUGUAAACAAGAAGGACCAGGAUGGUAACAGGAAAAUGAGACCUAGCAUUUGACCGUUUUAUAAAGUAGAAGGUGUAAACCCGGCUGUUCUUGGCUAUUCUUCCAAAGAGAGAAGCCCCAGUAGGGUUCCCGGGGGUUUGCCUUACGAUUUUUCUAAAAUGACAAGAGAAAUAUUUGUAUUGGCUUUAUGAGUAGGUGGGUAGGUUGCCACCCACGUGUGUGCUCUGAGAGAAACGAGAGGGUGCCUCAGGGGAAUGCCAAAAUACCUCCCUGUGUUACUAUUCCUGGAAGUCCAUCAUCAUAGGUGGUCCUCAAGGACACUUUUAGCCCUCAAAGUCUUCCUUUAAAAGCAUCUACUCCAGAGAGAGAUGUGCCUUUGCUCUGGUUGUUCCUUUGCUUAGGUUGCUGUUUUCCACACACAUUCAAAGCCUAUUUGGAGUCAUUCAUGUCUAGAGCACUUCCUCAGGGCUUCUCUUCUGGCCUGUCUUCCUCUUUGGGAGGACUCAUACUGCUGGUAUGAGACUUUGAUCCAGCAGAUUUGGUCUUGUGUGGCUUCUUGGUUGGAUUCUGUGUGUGUGUUGUGUGUAUUUGUGUGUGCAUGCUCAUACACUUCAGAGAAGGCAAUGGCACCCCACUCCAGUACUCUUGCCUGGAAAAUCCCAUGGAUGGAGGAGCCUGGUAGGCUGCAGUCCAUGGGGUCCCGAAGAGUAGGACACAACUGAGUGACUUAGCAGCAGCAGCAGCUCAUACACUUCCUAAUCAGCCUGUUUGUCAAUUACAGGUACCCCCACUUUUCGAAAGCUCUUACGAACGACCUACAUUAGUACCUGUUUUCAUUAACCAAAAGAAAUCCAAAGGGGUUUUCACUUUUAUGAGAAAAGAUAAUUGCUUCUUCACUUUAUACCAUUUCUGCUUAGGAAAAGCUUUGUAGAAGCACUCUGUUUUUGGAUAGUGGGGGAACCUGUGUCUAUCUUAUUGCAUUACAAAUUAAAACUUAAAACUUAAAAACUUAAAACCCAAAACUUAAAACAACUAUUUAUUUACUCACAACUCUAUAAUACGGGCUAGAAUCAGUUGGUGGUUCUCCUGGUGAUUGGCUUGAUGUAGCUCACAAAGCUGUCAUUGUCUGGAGGAUCAACAAUGAUGGAAAAACCCAAGAGGGGUUCAUUCACGUGUCUGAUUCUCAGUUGAGCAGAUUAGAACAGCUAGGAACUGGCUGGCCCCUCUUUGCAUGUGGUGUGUUGUUCUCCAGGGCCUCUCUUCAUAACCUCCUCUCCAGCAGGUCAUCCUGGGCUUUCUAACAGCAUGGCAGCUGAGUUCCAGAAGGCAGCAUUUCCAGAAGUAGAGCCCUGCUGUGCAAGCACUUAUCUAGUCGCUUCAUGUUUGUUAAUAUCUCACAAGGGAGUCACACGACCAAACCCAGAUCAAUGAGAGAGAGGACUUCAAAAGGUGUUCACAUUUACCAGCAUACUCUAGAGUAUAUUGGUAGACACUCCAUAAAUACUUGUUGACUGACAAAUGAUGAAUGUCGUUAACUGCAAGAAAAGCUCUGUCGGAUGGGCCUUGCAGGGAGAGCUGAAGGUUGCUCCAUGAAGAAAGUAGAAGCCUGAAAUUCGGAAAGGUGAUUGAACACCAAAUACAGAUGAGUGGAUUUUAGUGAAUUUAACUAUUUCCUUCCCUAGUGAUUUCAAAACCAGAAAAAUUGAAGCAAGAAAUAUCAGAAGAAACCAAAAUAUGCUCAGCUCAGCACUGUGUUCAACCUCAAGGAGGAGAUGAAAGAAAAGAGGGCCUUUGAGGUCACUGGAGAAACAAGAAAUAAAUACAGGAAAACUCCAAUAUCACAAAGUCUAAUAAUGUUUGUUUCAUUUUAUUUUAUUUACUUUUGGCUGCAUUGGAUCUCUGUUGCCGUGCACAGGCUUUCUCUAGCCGUCUCGACCGAGGGCUCCUCUCUAGCUGCAGUACGUGGGCUUCCUACCACAGUGGCUUCUCUUGCUGUGGAGCACGGGCUUAGUAGUUGUGGCUCACGAGCCUAGUUGCCCCAUGGCACGUGGAAUCUUCCUUGGACCCUGCAUUGGCAAGCAUAUUCUUAACCACUGGACCACCGGGAAAUUCCCCUAAUGAUGUUUUUAGCAUAGUUCAUAUCACAUAAUAGACACUCAUGAAAAGUUGCAGGAAAAAUAGGGUAUGGUCAGGAAAUGAAAAAUAGGUUAGUCUAGGGUUCAGCAAACUACAACCCACAGGCCAAAUCCUGCCCUCUGUCAGUUUUUAUAAAUAAAGUUUAAUUUGAACAGAGCCAUAACCAUUGGUUCAGAGAAGGCAAUCGCAACCCACUCCAGUACUCUUGCCUGGAAAAUCCCAUGGACGGAGGAGCCUGGUAGGCUGCAGUCCAUGGGGUCGCUAAGAGUCGGACACGACUGAGCGACUUCACUUUCACUUUUCACUUUCAUGCACUGGAGAAGGAAAUGGCAACCCACUCUAGUGUUCUUGCCUGGAGAAUCUCAGGGACGGCGGAGCCUGGUGGGCUGCCAUCUGUGGGGUCUCACAGAGUCGAUCAUGACUGAAGCGACUUAGCAGCAGCAGCAGCAUACACAUUGGUUAUCUAUGGCCAUUUUUGUUCUAUGACAGCAGAAUUAAAUAGUUUCAAAAAGACGAAAGGACUUGCAAAGCCUAAGAUAGGUACAGCCUGGGCCUUUACAGAAAAAGUUUGCCAACCCCAAAACUCAAUAAAUGCUCCCCAGACUCUGUAAAAUUGGUACAACUUCCCUUGAUGGAGGAGAAGGUAGAUUAGUGCUCGGUUAGGUGGAAGAUGAAGUACUUUGUACUCAAAACUAUGAAUAGCUACAGCCUGAGAGAAAACUGUUAGGGGGGGACCCCAGCUAGGAAGGAUCUGUGCUGAUUUGCAACACUGUCAGGCCCUGGGCCCCUGUUUAGACUAGUCCUGGCAUUCUCCCCAUCUCGCAACCCUGUUUGUCCAUCUUCCUCCACGCUUUUAUCUUGAGGUUGGACAAGGUAUCCAGAUAUUGAAGUUGGACAUCAGAUACACUUUCCAUUUGGAUAUAUAUCUGAGUCCUUAGGAGGAAGAGAAGCAUCUAACUAUAUAGAGAAAGGGCAUGGUACCUUCAAUCUCAUUCCUUCAGCUCCAUGGGUCUCAAAAGAUCAUUUUAGUCAUUCCCUUGUGUCCAGACUGGACUAGUUUUAAGUCUUCUCCUAGAUCUAAUAAACACACACACAUGCCUCACUGUACCCAUCUCCCACAUGCUUAAAAAGAGCACAAUCUCUCCCCAGGGCCAACUGAUCCAAAGAGAGUAGGCUCAGUGCUAAGGGCCUGUGAUAUUUUAAGGACUGACACAAAUAUUUUAACUUCUUUUAAUACUAGAAGGAAAAAAGAAUGUAAUAAUAGUGGAUAUAUAGUAAUGAUAUAUAUAUAGAGAGAGAGAGAGUAAUGAUAUAUAUACAAUACUUCGGCCACCUGAUGAGAAGAACUGACUCAUUGGAAAAGACCCUGAUGCUGGGAAAGGUUGAAGGUAGGAGGAGAAGGGGACAACAGAGAAUGAGAUAGUUGGAUGGCAUUACUGACUCGAUGGACAUGAGUUUGAGCAAACUCUGGGAGAUAGUGAAGGACAGGGAAGCCUGGUGUACUGCAAUCUAUGGGGUCACAAAGAGUCGGACACAACUGAGCGACUGAACAACAGCAUAUAGGAAUGAAGCCG
Molecule: long non-coding RNA, 3728 nt
Organism: Bos taurus (domestic cattle)
Lineage: Eukaryota; Metazoa; Chordata; Mammalia; Artiodactyla; Bovidae
Source: Ensembl